AAUAAUUCGAUACAAGUACCAAAAGUAUUGGCCUCUAAGGCUUACACCAACACAUAUACAACCAGUCUACCAUUAUUCCACCUGCAUUCUCAGAUGCCAUCAAUAGCAUAUGUUCAUCCUCUGAAUCUCCUCUAGCUAUGUUGGCUUAUUCACCCUUGCUAACCUUGUUUGACCAAUAAUCAACAACAAAAUGGCUAAACAUUUUGCAAUUGUAGCACUGAACCUUUCUCU
RNAcentral lists this long non-coding RNA (231 nucleotides) under Lathyrus oleraceus (garden pea). Its description in RNAcentral is "Pisum sativum (pea) long non-coding RNA (PSAT_LNC029837)". Lineage: Eukaryota; Viridiplantae; Streptophyta; Magnoliopsida; Fabales; Fabaceae. The record is from RNAcentral.